UACUUUCAGCAGUGAGGAAGGUGGGUAUGUUAAUAGCAUACUCAUUUGACGUUAGCUGCAGAAGAAGCACCGGCUAACUCCGUGCCAGCAGCCGCGGUAAUACGGAGGGUGCGAGCGUUAAUCGGAAUUACUGGGCGUAAAGCGCAUGCAGGUGGUUUGUUAAGUCAGAUGUGAAAGCCCGGGGCUCAACCUCGGAAUUGCAUUUGAAACUGGCAAACUAGAGUACUGUAGAGGGGGUAGAAUUUCAGGUGUAGCGGUGAAAUGCGUAGAGAUCUGAAGGAAUACCGGUGGCGAAGGCGGCCCCCUGGACAGAUACUGACACUCAGAUGCGAAAGCGUGGGGAGCAAACAGGAUUAAAUACCCUGGUAG
Molecule: ribosomal RNA, 369 nt
Filed under: uncultured bacterium
Lineage: Bacteria
Description: bacterial SSU rRNA
Rfam family: Bacterial small subunit ribosomal RNA
Source: RNAcentral